CUCCAGGGAGUGGAAGAACUGUGAAAAAGGCUGACUACCAAUCAGGUGAAGUCACCACAGGGAUGCUUUGCAGUUGCUAAUGAUCCAAAUUUCCAACCAGGAAGGAAAGAGGAAGUCAGAGGAGAGAACACUGCUAAGGGUCCUGCCCUUGGAAGGCAUUUGAUUUAAAAUACUGAAGCAAGGAGGAGCAGUCUUUAACAUCACUUACUAAUCAGCUGGAUGCUAUAGAUCCCUCAACACCCUUUAUAUCAUCCCAUUUAAUUUACUACAUGCUAUUCUAAAAGGAGAAAAACAUACACUAGUUUGGAAUAAAAAGCUGACACAUCCUCCA
Molecule: long non-coding RNA, 331 nt
Filed under: Manacus vitellinus (golden-collared manakin)
Lineage: Eukaryota; Metazoa; Chordata; Aves; Passeriformes; Pipridae
Description: lncRNA (ENSMVIG00005003194.1)
Source: RNAcentral